GAGGGACAACCAUGGAAAAAUUAAUAGUGUAUUCUAAUCAAACUCAUAUCAUAUAAUCAUAGUUGAUUUUCAGAUCGUCAUCAUUGCAAAAUGAUAUUCAUAAAAAAGGAAUAUUUCUUGUCUUUUCUUUUACGAGAAAUGUCCGUGUUGCCAACUAUUCAUUACUCUUAUCUUUUUUUUUUUCUUUUUUUUUUAUGGAAAUUGGUACAUAAUUACUUUAUAAACAAGCAUGGUUUGAAAUUAGUUGGGCAAAAUAUUUUAACGACUUUGGAAAGGAGGUGAACUACUAAGAAAAAUUAACUUUCAAGUAUUAGUUUAAGUAAGACGUUUUAUCUCGCAAAAUAAUUGUUGAAUUAUAUUAUAACAACAUAGUACCCACCAUCACUAUCUUUAUUAGUUAUUUUGAUUUAAUAUUAGGCAGUUGCAUUUUCAUUUUCGCUUGGCUGUUGGCU
RNAcentral lists this long non-coding RNA (452 nucleotides) under Salvia miltiorrhiza (redroot sage). Its description in RNAcentral is "long non-coding RNA (SMIL_LNC001251)". Lineage: Eukaryota; Viridiplantae; Streptophyta; Magnoliopsida; Lamiales; Lamiaceae. The record is from RNAcentral.